AGGGGUUUGAUCCUGGCUCAGAAUGAACGUUGGCGGCGUGGAUUAGGCAUGCAAGUCGCAGCGAGAACUUGUUGAUUGAAGCUUCGGCCGAUUUCAGCGGGGGACAGCGGCGCAAGGGAGAGUAACGCGUGGAUACCUGCCCCUGGAUCCGGGAUAGCGUCGGGAAACCGGCAGUAAUACCGGAUAAUGUCUCCGGACUAAAGGUGAGAUUCCGUCUGGGGAUGGGUCCGCGUCCUAUUAGCUUGUUGGUGGGGUAAUGGCCUACCAAGGCAAAGAUGGGUAGCGGGUGUGAGAGCAUGGCCCGUCUCACUGGGACUGAGACACUGCCCAGACACCUACGGGUGGCUGCAGUCUGAGAAUCUUCGGCAAUGGACGAAAGUCUGACCGAGCGUACGCCGCGUGCGGGAUGAAGGCCUUCGGGUUUGUAAACC
Molecule: ribosomal RNA, 431 nt
Filed under: uncultured bacterium
Lineage: Bacteria
Description: bacterial SSU rRNA
Rfam family: Bacterial small subunit ribosomal RNA
Source: RNAcentral